GUUACGGCGCGAGGGUCUCUGGGUGCUUUCGCCUCAGAGGGUACUGAAAUUGUUAGUGUUCUAGGGUGUGGGUCUCUUGGGUCGUAAGAGCAAGGCUUGGUGUGAGGUGUACUGCCCGGUGAUUCCCGCACUGUCCUGGGACGCAUGCAGAGUCCGUAGGUUACGCCAGGUCCUUACAGCGUCACAGGUAAGCCUCUCCCUGGAGCUGCCAGCCCUGCCUCUGCCAAGAUCGUUCCUAGUGCUUUCCGGAUUUGGUGGUGGGCCAGAGUGGUCCUGUAAUAGGUGGCUUCCUGUUUGAAGGGCUCUCCGAUGAGGAGGAUGACUUUCACCCAAGUGCCAGGUCCACGCCCUCGAGCAGCACGUCCAGCUCCCGCCCAGCUUCCCUGGGGUACAGUGGAGCCGCCGGACCCCGGCCCAUCACUCAGAGCGAGCUGGCCACGGCCCUGGCCCUGGCCAGCACUCCGGAGAGCAGCUCUCACACGCCAACUCCUGGCACCCAGGGCCAUUCCUCUGGGACCUCCCCAAUGUCCUCAGGCGUCCAGUCAGGGACGCCCAUCACCAACGAUCUGUUCAGCCAAGCCCUACAGCAUGCGCUGCAGGCCUCCGGGCAGCCCAGCCUUCAGAAUCAGAUGGAACUUGAAUCUUUGGAAAAGAACAGAGAGCAUUGGAAAUGCUUCAUCUUCAAGACUCUCGUCCAGAUGCCUCAUCUGCAAAACCCACCAGCUUAACUAAAAUGAGGAGGCCGGACCAAUCAUCAGCUCAUCUCUUAUUGAUACUCUCCAGCAUGGCUAAGAAUUCACCUUCCCCCAACCCAUUUUGGGGAUGGCAGACCGCAAGAUGAACAGAGCCAAGGACCCUGAAUGACAGUAAUGGAGAGCUUCCUCCCUGACCUGAAUAUCUGUCCAGGACUAUUAGUAACAAUUCACUCAUUGAAGAUGCCAUAAUUAAUAUUAAAGCAAACAACACAGAGGCUUCAUCGAGUUGGGGAAUGAGAGGAAAAGAGUUGUAGAAAAUGUACACAAACGUAAAUGCCAUUCUCCUGGCUCUUGA
Sus scrofa (pig) is the source of this 1050-nucleotide non-coding RNA. The record is from RefSeq and is a predicted model, not a curated record. Lineage: Eukaryota; Metazoa; Chordata; Mammalia; Artiodactyla; Suidae.